Molecule: small RNA, 131 nt
Filed under: Klebsiella michiganensis
Lineage: Bacteria; Pseudomonadati; Pseudomonadota; Gammaproteobacteria; Enterobacterales; Enterobacteriaceae
Also listed under: 4 other names
Description: RtT sRNA
Rfam family: RtT RNA
About the family: This family represents a bacterial cis-regulatory element known as RtT RNA. The exact function of RtT is unknown although it is thought that it may be involved in changing the cellular response in relation to amino acid starvation.
Source: RNAcentral
UAUUCAUCCCAUGCGGGAAGGAUGAGAAGCUUCGACUAAGGUUCGAUUCGAGCGAAGCGAGAAAGCGUUGCCGCAGGCAACGACCCGAAGGGCGAGGCGCAACGCGCCGAGUAAUCCUUCCCCCACCCUCA